RNAcentral lists this transfer RNA (72 nucleotides) under Candidatus Woesearchaeota archaeon CG07_land_8_20_14_0_80_44_23. RNAcentral's name for it is "tRNA-Thr". It matches the Rfam family "tRNA". From Rfam's summary of the family: Transfer RNA (tRNA) molecules are approximately 80 nucleotides in length. Lineage: Archaea; Nanobdellati; Candidatus Woesearchaeota. RNAcentral also lists the same sequence under 1 other name. The record is from RNAcentral.
GCCUCUGUAGCUCAGCGGUAGAGCGCCACCUUGGUAAGGUGGAGGUCGCGAGUUCAAUCCUCGCCAGAGGCU